This 1233-nucleotide long non-coding RNA is filed under the name Capra hircus (goat). Its description in RNAcentral is "lncRNA (ENSCHIG00000005499.1)". Lineage: Eukaryota; Metazoa; Chordata; Mammalia; Artiodactyla; Bovidae. The record is from RNAcentral.
CGGCGCUCGCGGGAAGCCGGGCAGCCCCGGGCUCUGGGGUCCUCCGCGCCUCGCCCACCUCUCUCGUGCAGGCUCUCCUCCGGGCCGGAGCUUCGGGCCGCAAGGGUGCGUCGGGCCUGCGCUGUCCCCGCCGCGGCCCUCCCCGCCCCGCCGCCCUUCCCGGCCGCGCGGCCGCCCGAGCCCCCUCCCUUGCCGCGCGCUGCGCGCUCCGCCAGGGCCGCCGCCGCCGCCGCGUGCUCCUGCUGUCUCUUCGCUCCAGCCCAGCGAGCCAGAGGAGCCGGCGAGAGGGAGAGAGAAAGGGGGAGGAGAGAGGCGAGAGAAAGAGAGAGAGAGAGGGCGGCAGCGAGGCAAGAGAGCGAGCGCCGAGCCUCCUCGGACAGCGGCCCCUCCGCGGUCCCAGCCGCUCGCGUGGUCGGAGGAGACGCGGUCGCCGCCGCCGCCUGAGCCCGGCCCCGCGCUCUCCUCGCCGCCGGCUCGCCGGUGCCCGCGCGGCCCCGGGACGCCGUUGCCCGCUCGGCGGCCGGGAUGCAGCCGGGGCAUGGCCGCCGGGCCCCUGUCACCUGCCGCGGGGAGCGCUGAGCCCACCUCCCUUUGGCCUCGUGACUCUGUUUAUACCGGAGCCAGCCGAACCCAGUUUUGCUAAAGACACGUUUCUUCAGCCUGCUUUGAAAAUGCUUCACCAACGGCCACUCAUCUGGUGGUGUAUGAGACGUGUGCCUCCAGCCAGCAGCCAAGACUCAUCCCAGUGGCCUCUCUGCUCUCACAGCCCUUCGGGUGCCGUCUCUUGAGGAAUGUCCUGGGAUUGAAGCCAUGUGUGGCCAGACUCCUGUCUUCUCAGCGUUUGGAGGGUGGCCAGUUCAGCCUUCCCUUAGCACUGGGGAGAGGAGAGCAGACCACACAGCGGCUAAGAGUUUGGGCACUGGGGGCCGCACUGCCUGGGUUUGAAUGCCAGCCUUGUGGCUCACUCUCUUGUCUUAGUUUCCUAGGUGGGUUCUCCAAGGAUGAUGGAGAUGGGCGUGGAAAACCUCAGCUCUGGGCUGAGGCACAAAGUUGAGCCUUCAAUGCACAGCAGCCCCUGAGAAUGAAAGGUCUUGGUUCUGUCCCCCUUACCACCCAGCUGCUCUGGUUGACUCCGUGCCUGCAGAAGAAAAUGAAUUUCCUAGGGAAUUGCCACCUCAAGGCGUUUAUUUAUGUGCUACACGCUUUUCAAAUAUUUUCUUAUUUUGCCUUUUG